AGUGAACGCUGGCGGUAGGCCUAACACAUGCAAGUCGAACGGCAGCACAGUAAGAGCUUGCUCUUACGGGUGGCGAGUGGCGGACGGGUGAGGAAUACAUCGGAAUCUACUUUUUCGUGGGGGAUAACGUAGGGAAACUUACGCUAAUACCGCAUACGACCUACGGGUGAAAGCAGGGGAUCUUCGGACCUUGCGCGAUUGAAUGAGCCGAUGUCGGAUUAGCUAGUUGGCGGGGUAAAGGCCCACCAAGGCGACGAUCCGUAGCUGGUCUGAGAGGAUGAUCAGCCACACUGGAACGGAGACACGGUCCAGACUCCUACGGGAGGCAGCAGUGGGGAAUAUUGGACAAUGGGCGCAAGCCUGAUCCAGCCAUACCGCGUGGGUGAAGAAGGCCUUCGGGUUGUAAAGCCCUUUUGUUGGGAAAGAAAAGCAGCAGGUUAAUACCCAGCUGUUCUGACGGUACCCAAAGAAUAAGCACCGGCUAACUUCGUG
This 492-nucleotide ribosomal RNA is filed under the name uncultured bacterium. RNAcentral's name for it is "partial 16S ribosomal RNA". It matches the Rfam family "Bacterial small subunit ribosomal RNA", at positions 29 to 507 of the family's 1533-position model. The record is from RNAcentral.